This is a long non-coding RNA of Myripristis murdjan (pinecone soldierfish), 641 nucleotides long. RefSeq lists it as uncharacterized. Lineage: Eukaryota; Metazoa; Chordata; Actinopteri; Holocentriformes; Holocentridae. The transcript is spliced from 3 exons. The record is from RefSeq and is a predicted model, not a curated record.
CUCUUUAAAAAGGUGUGUUUCCAUCAUUAAGGUGUUCACUUAACGUAUGCUUUUAUUUUGACGAUCCCUGGUGGAAGCGGUGGGAUCCUCGCGUCUGUGAGUUUAUUUAUUUUUGUGUGUGUCAGUUUGGAGCCGACGGCACAAGGCAGACGGUGUGGUCAUGCACGGUAACUGCACUACCGAAAGGUUUAUUUUACAUGUUUUAAGCGCCUGGCUGGAGAUGGGAACAAGCUGCAAAGGCAAAGGGACUGCAGCUGCACUGAUGCAGGAUGUCCAGCAGAGGGCGCUGCCGGUCAGAGCUGAGAGAAACAGGAUCUCGUGGAGGAAUGGAGCUGCGUCCCUCCAGGAGAGCGCCUGUGACGCAUUGCAUGCUGGGAUUUUACAAAAACUUGUAACCAGCAACAGAUGAAGAGGAAAACAAAAUGAACUUUAUUUUUUACAAAAGAAACUGCCAUAAGUUCACCAAACCUGUGAGAGUCUGGAGGCCUGGCCCAGCAGAGCACAGGGACGGGAAAGUCUGGGCCCGUGGAUCCUGAGGGGGCUUCUCACACACAGACACACACACACACACACACACACACACACACACAGAGAGAGAGUCUCAAAAUUUCUAAAAAAAAAACCCAAAAAAACCCAUUAAA